UUUCAGUGUAUUUUUGUUGACUAAAUUCUUCAAUAAACCAUUAAUGAAAGAUCCAAAUUAUAAAUCGACAUUAAAUCUUAUUAUCUUUUAGUUAGAGUAUAUAGGAUUAGGAAUUUUUGGUUCGAUAAAAUACACCGGAUUUUACUUUGGCGAUAGAUUUGAAACAAAAUGAAAGUUCAUGCCUUUAAAUGACAACUUUUAAAGUUCAUGAUUAAAAUGAAACUUCGUGUAAAGUUCGUGAUUUUUUAGGAAUUAACCCUAAAAAAAAGGCCAAAUAUCGUAAAAAGGCCAAAUCUUUCACAAAAGUUUCAUAAAAGUCGGGACUUUUUAAUUUUGUCUAUUUUGGCCAAAAACUGAUUAUUUGGUUUUACAAAAGUCCUGACCUUUUAAUUUUGUAUAUUUUGGCCAAAAACUGAUUAUUUGGUUUUACAAAAGUCCUGACCUUUCAAUAUAUGUGCAUGUCACGUAGGCGCCACAUAGGCAAAAUUGAAGACAAAUUGAGAGUUGACCACAAUUGAAACCAAAUAAUAUAUUUUUGGCGAAAAUCGACAAAAUUAAAAAGUCAGGAUUUCUGUGAAACUUUUAUAAAAGGUUUGGCCUUUUUAUGACAUUUGGCCUAAAAAAAUUAUAUGGCAUCUACUUUUUACGCUGCACAAAAUUAUGAAUCUAAGAUAUAGGAUUGAGAUUCCCUCAAGUUCUUUUUGAACUUGAGGAGGUCUUAUUAACAAUCUACACCGUUCAUUAUAAAAUGGACGGCGUAGAUCAAAAAGGUAAAAUUUUAAUCAAAUUAAUCUACACCAUUCAUUUUAAAAUGAAUGGUGUAGAUUAUGAACAUGAAUGCACUUGAGGGAGAUAUAUAGUAACAUCAUGCCAAAGCAACUUAUUUUUGAAGUUUUCAAAAAAUAACUUAUUUUUACUUAAAAGUUUAAAUAAAAUCCCAAGUAGGUUAAGAUAACUUCAAACAGGGGGAGAAAUGUUCUGAAUUUUUGGGUAAAAUUGCCCAUUGUACUAAAUCAAUAAUUUAACAGUAACCUGAUUUAAUAGUUGAUGAUUAUCUAACUUUAUCAACUAAACCAAUAAAAUCUAAAUUAAAAACUUUAUAUAUAAAAAACAAAAUCCAUCAAUUAGAUUAAAAUACUCUUUAAAAAGAUUGAACCCAAAAAUAAAAAAGAAUAUAAACUGAGCAUUUCGAUACAAAGUCAUAAAAUGUCUGAACUGAACUAAAUUGAAUUAAAAUAAUAGUGUGGGUCGAUUUUUGACCUAAAAAUAAUCUUUACAAUUUGAGUAUGGAUUUCUGAUUUUUGAAAAGCCAUACCAAUGUAUGAACUAAAUUGAAUUAAAAUAAUAGUCCCCGUAGUGUUAUAAAUUUCCUUAUUGUUUUUUUCUUGCAACAAUAACUUUUUUUAUUACGAUGAACAACCCUGAAACAUGCACCUGUAUGCUCUCUCAUUUUUGCUCUUUUCACCAAAAUUUCUUGAAUACAACCAACUCUGAAUUGGAAAAACUAGAGAUUUUUGGAGGUUUUACGGAUUUUCAGAAUAUGCAUGGCAUGCAAUAUCAAAACGACUUCCUACAUGAUUUACACAAUGAAGAAUCAACCUCAAAAAACCAGACAAACGACACUCAGAGUCAAAAUAACGAGAUUGAAGCGCUCUCCGUAGAAGCAAGGCGAACCAAGCGUGAUAAGAGACCACGGUCGGGUGCGAAGCGUAAUCUUUAUGAGAGGAGGCGUAGGGACCGAAUCAGGGAGAAAAUAAAAACUUUAAAAGAGCUCGUACCCCAUCGUCACAACAAGCCAGUGUAAGGAGCUAUACAUGUGUCAGCUCGAGCACUGCUUAUAUAUUAAUAAUGUUUUACCAACAGGGUUUAGAAAAGCAGAGCGAAGCUUCAAUUUUGGAUGAUACCAUUCACUAUCUUAAAGAAUUAAAGUCGAAAGUCGAAAUGCUAUCGUCAAGUAAUUGCCUGCAACAACCAGUUUUUACUCCAAUGGUGCACACAGUCAGUAGGCCUCCAACUCCGAGAAUGGAAAUGUUCAAUGUUCGUCAAUGUGAAGUCCUUCCAAUGCUACCAAUUCAACAAAUAUCUCCAUUUUCGACUUAUCAAUAUUUAUUUUAGGGCUUAGUUCUUUUAGCUUCUACUUUUUAUAAUGGACACAUUCCAUGAGAUAAUAUAUUAGGCUCAAUACAUAGUUUGACCCCUGAACUUGUACCCUUUUACCCAUCUAACCUCCAAACUUAACGUCUCACUUAUCGAACCCCUGAAUUUGUUAAAUAACCCGAUUUGACCCCCGAACUUGAUAAAUAUGUAAACAUUUAACUCCUCCGUACACAAUUUCUUCUAGAACGUUUCAAGUGACAGGUGGACACGAAGGGUUCAAUACUUACAUAUUUAUCAAGUUCAGAGGUUAAAUCAAACUAUUUAACAACUUCAGAGGUUCGAUAGGUGAGACGUUAAAUUUAGGGGUUAGAUGGGUAAAAGGGUACAAGUUCAGGGGUCAAACUAUGUAUUAAGCCUAAUAUAUUAUAUUAGAAUAUAAUUUAUCAUCACUGGUCUAUAUUGAAUUGGGUACGGUUGGGUGUUUAGUAUUGGGUUGGGCUGUACACAGCUCAGAAGAGUUGGAGCUUCGAAAAACUUAGAAUUGAAUUGAAAAUUGCGAUUUUUUAAAGUGUGAUAUAUGGAGACAUUAAAAUCCGGUA
Molecule: RNA transcript, 2696 nt
Organism: Mercurialis annua (annual mercury)
Lineage: Eukaryota; Viridiplantae; Streptophyta; Magnoliopsida; Malpighiales; Euphorbiaceae
Gene name: transcription factor APG-like
Exons: 6
Source: RefSeq, a predicted model, not a curated record